This 429-nucleotide ribosomal RNA is filed under the name uncultured eukaryote. RNAcentral describes it as "bacterial SSU rRNA". It matches the Rfam family "Eukaryotic small subunit ribosomal RNA", at positions 592 to 1016 of the family's 1831-position model. The record is from RNAcentral.
CAAUAGCGUAUAUUAAAGUUGUUGCAGUUAAAAAGCUCGUAGUUGGAUUUCUGGGGCAAGCUCCUGGUCCGCCGCCUUUGUGCGGUGCUGACUGAGUGCAGCGUUGUCUCAUCCUUGUGGGAAUUCCGGUUUGGGCUUCGUUGUCCGGCCGGCGGAACCGCAUCUUUUACUGUGAAAAAAUUAGAGUGUUCAAAGCAGGCCUAUGCUCUGAAUAGGUUAGCAUGGAAUAAUAGAAUAGGACUUCGGUACUAUUUUGUUGGUUUCUAGGACCGAAGUAAUGAUUAAUAGGGACAGUUGGGGGCAUUCAUAUUUCAUUGUCAGAGGUGAAAUUCUUGGAUUUAUGAAAGAUGAACUUCUGCGAAAGCAUUUGCCAAGGAUGUUUUCAUUAAUCAAGAACGAAAGUUAGGGGAUCGAAGAUGAUCAGAUACC